GUGGGGAAUAUUGGACAAUGGGCGAAAGCCUGAUCCAGCCAUGCCGCGUGAGUGAUGAAGGCCUUAGGGUUGUAAAGCUCUUUCAGUAGGGAAGAUAAUGACGGUACCUACAGAAGAAGCCCCGGCUAACUUCGUGCCAGCAGCCGCGGUAAUACGAAGGGGGCUAGCGUUGUUCGGAUUUACUGGGCGUAAAGCGCACGUAGGCGGAUUGGUCAGUUAGAGGUGAAAUCCUGGAACUCAACUCCAGAACUGCCUUUAAUACUGCCAGUCUAGAGUCCAGAAGAGGUGAGUGGAGCUCCUAGUGUAGAGGUGGAAUUCGUAGAUAUUAGGAAGAACACCAGUGGCGAAGGCGGCUCACUGGUCUGGUACUGACGCUGAGGUGCGAAAGCGUGGGGAGCAAACAGGAUUAGAAACCCGUGUAGUCC
This 425-nucleotide ribosomal RNA is filed under the name uncultured bacterium. Its description in RNAcentral is "partial 16S ribosomal RNA". It matches the Rfam family "Bacterial small subunit ribosomal RNA", at positions 354 to 796 of the family's 1533-position model. The record is from RNAcentral.